Molecule: ribosomal RNA, 325 nt
Filed under: uncultured eukaryote
Lineage: Eukaryota
Description: partial 18S ribosomal RNA
Rfam family: Eukaryotic small subunit ribosomal RNA
Source: RNAcentral
CCCUUAGAUGUUCUGGGCUGCACGCGCGCUACACUGAUGCGCUCAACGAGUUUUAACCUUGCCUGGAAAGGUUGGGUAAUCUUUUUAAAACGCAUCGUGAUGGGGAUAGAUUAUUGCAAUUAUUAAUCUUCAACGAGGAAUUCCUAGUAAGCGCGAGUCAUCAGCUCGUGCUGAUUACGUCCCUGCCCUUUGUACACACCGCCCGUCGCUCCUACCUAUUGAGUGAUCCGGUGAAUAAUUCGGACUGCGGCAUUGACCGGUUCCCGAUCGUUGCUGCGGAAAGUUUAGUGAACCUUAUCACUUAGAGGAAGGAGAAGUCGUAACA